This 74-nucleotide transfer RNA is filed under the name bacterium. RNAcentral describes it as "tRNA-Val". The record is from RNAcentral. RNAcentral also lists the same sequence under 1 other name.
GGGCGUGUAGCUCAAAUGGUUAGAGCGCGUCGUUGACAUCGACGAGGUACCCCGUUCGAUCCGGGGCACGCCCA